This 320-nucleotide long non-coding RNA is filed under the name Gossypium barbadense (sea-island cotton). RNAcentral's name for it is "long non-coding RNA (GBAR_LNC021619)". Lineage: Eukaryota; Viridiplantae; Streptophyta; Magnoliopsida; Malvales; Malvaceae. The record is from RNAcentral.
GGUAUUAUUACGAGGGGUAAUGUAUGACUCUUAUGUCUAGGCUUCACAUUUAAAAUGGUUAUUUCAUGCUGGUUUAUGGUUGGCCCUAAUGCACGGGGAACCCAAGGCUUAAAUACGACAUCCAUAGGGAUGCGUUCCCCUUUAAAAAGGGUUGGCCCUUGGGUGAUAAGACUUCCAUAGCGUACAGGUAGCAUUUGCUACAUGAACAUCUAUGUCCAUCUUAACCAUAGAGUAGUCCUAAAACUUAUGCAUUGACAUAUUGCCACAUGAAAGCCUAAGGCUACUCCUUCUAAACGGGAUGGGCCUAGGCGUAAGACCGA